Archocentrus centrarchus (flier cichlid) is the source of this 1052-nucleotide long non-coding RNA. RefSeq lists it as uncharacterized. The record is from RefSeq and is a predicted model, not a curated record. Lineage: Eukaryota; Metazoa; Chordata; Actinopteri; Cichliformes; Cichlidae. The transcript has 5 exons.
GAGGAGAUGCUUCAUUUAACCCCGAGGUGACCCUAAGAGAAGGGCCAUAUAAGGAAGCUAAUUCCUUCAUGAAAUAUUCUUCUGAUGAGGCCGCUAUCAGGAACAAAAUGAAGAUGAUGUUUGAUUACCGUCGCAAGAUGGUCCUGGACAAAAACAGAUCAUCUGACGUCUUGACUGAAUUUCCUCGCUUCAGAGAUGUCAGAGGCGUGAUUGAUCAAGACUUCAUUCUGGAAUUUGGAGAAGAUGUAGCUUCCAGGUUUUUGGAGAGGUGGCCGACUGUUUUCAAGCAUAAAGUUAUCCAGCAGAGCAAGACUCUCCUACCUCAACUGACCUUGAAGAACUGAUCUACUGUGCUGAAUGAGCUUCAAGUGAGGAGGAACUGGAUGAGACCUUUACCUCUGGCUGGGACAGCGAUCUUGCUUCCAUCAUUCUCCUGCUCCACCUGUCUCCUCCUUCCUGUCUGGGCCACAAAAGACCUGGCAAGAUUUCUCCAUCCCAGGAUGAGAAGCACCAUGUGGUCUUCCAGAAGGUUUGUAAUAGUGGAACAAGCGUCCAGGAACAUGUUGAUGCCAUCAACUCCACUACGCAACCCUACCCACUUGCUGUUGGGACAAAGAAGAGCACCAUCCACGAGUUCUUCAUUGUUCUGGACAAGCAGGUCGUACCAUGCAAGUCAACCAGCUCACUUGGAGCUUUGAUGAACUUUUUAAGGUUUACUUCGUAAUUGGAACUGUUUAUAAUCAAAUGCUCCACAAUAUGUAUGUCUUGGAACUUGGAGAAUUAAAGGACAUUGCUGAAAUUGCUUCAGAACUUUGUAGUGAACUCUCUCUCUCCAUGUCAAGAAUGCUUAGUCGUGACUCCGCCACAAAGAUAUGGUGGGUGUGUUGGCUCAGGGAAGAGCAGGAUUGGGCCUUUCACGGACAUUUAGAUGAAAGAAGAGCAGGGGGAAGGAGAAACAAAGACAGAUCUAGGAGGAGGUGAGGGCAGCGUUGGAGGAAGAAAGAUCAAGUAGAGCAACCAGUUUGAGACAGCAGGGGGCUUGGAUGAGGUCA